CACUUGUUCCCUAAAUAGGGACUUGUAUGAAUGGCCACACGAGGGUUUUACUGUCUCUUACUUCCAAUCAGUGAAAUUGACCUUCCCGUGAAGAGGCGGGAAUGACUAAAUAAGACGAGAAGACCCUAUGGAGCUUUAAUUAACUGAUUCACAAAAAACAACACACAAACCUAACCUUCAGGGACAACAAAACUUUUGAUUGAAUCAGCAAUUUCGGUUGGGGUGACCUCGGAGAACAAAACAACCUCCGAGUGAUUUAAAUCCAGACUAACCAGUCAAAAUAAAUAAUCACUUAUUGAUCCAAACCAUUGAUCAACGGAACAAGUUACCCUAGGGAUAACAGCGCAAUCCUAUUCCAGAGUCCAUAUCGACAAUUAGGGUUUACGACCUCGAUGUUGGAUCAAGACAUCCUAAUGGUGCAACCGCUAUUAAGGGUUCGUUUGUUCAACGAUUAAAGUCUU
This 461-nucleotide ribosomal RNA is filed under the name Equus caballus (horse). Its description in RNAcentral is "partial large subunit ribosomal RNA". It matches the Rfam family "Bacterial large subunit ribosomal RNA", at positions 1966 to 2597 of the family's 2925-position model. The record is from RNAcentral. Lineage: Eukaryota; Metazoa; Chordata; Mammalia; Perissodactyla; Equidae.